This 492-nucleotide ribosomal RNA is filed under the name uncultured bacterium. Its description in RNAcentral is "bacterial SSU rRNA". It matches the Rfam family "Bacterial small subunit ribosomal RNA", at positions 903 to 1397 of the family's 1533-position model. The record is from RNAcentral.
AAAGGAAUAGACGGGGACCCGCACAAGCAGCGGAGCAUGUGGUUUAAUUCGAAGCAACGCGAAGAACCUUACCUAGACUUGACAUGUCCUGAAUUACCAGUAAUGUGGGAAGUCUCUUCGGAGACAGGAACACAGGUGGUGCAUGGUUGUCGUCAGCUCGUGUCGUGAGAUGUUGGGUUAAGUCCCGCAACGAGCGCAACCCUUAUUGUUAGUUGGUACCAUUAAGUUGACCACUCUAGCGAGACUGCCCGGGUUAACCGGGAGGAAGGUGGGGAUGACGUCAAAUCAUCAUGCCCCUUAUGUCUAGGGCUACACACGUGCUACAAUGGCAAGUACAAAGAGAUGCAAUACCGCGAGGUGGAGCCAAACUCAAAAACUUGUCUCAGUUCGGAUUGUAGGCUGAAACUCGCCUACAUGAAGCUGGAGUUGCUAGUAAUCGCGAAUCAGCAUGUCGCGGUGAAUACGUUCCCGGGUCUUGUACACACCGCCCGU